This is a long non-coding RNA of Carcharodon carcharias (great white shark), 1013 nucleotides long. RefSeq lists it as uncharacterized. NCBI's taxonomy places the organism in Eukaryota, Metazoa, Chordata, Chondrichthyes, Lamniformes, Lamnidae. The transcript is spliced from 2 exons. The record is from RefSeq and is a predicted model, not a curated record.
CAGUGCUUGGAGUUCCUCUAAGUGAGAGAGCGGCCCAAUGUGCCUGUGUGAAAAAAAUACAGAAAACGGCGCAAAAACCCUGAUCACAAGGCCCAGAAGGAGAGCACCAUACUAGAGAAGAGUCCCAGACAGGGGCAGGCAGAGGUCCCAAAGAAGGAACCCAGAGAGGGAAUCCAGGGAGAGGGAACUGAGAGAAGGCCCAGAAAAAGACAGAGAGAGAGGGAACCGAGGAAGGAGGCUCCGGGAGGAGGAAACCAACGGUAGAAGUUACCUGAGCAAAGAAGGAGAUUCUCAGUAGAAAAGUGCUGCUGUUGGCAGGCUUCAACUUGCGAGGGCUUGGGAGAAGCGCUGGAGAGUGAAACAAGCAGUGGAAUGCUGGUGAUUCCGUGCUGUGGGCCAUUGAGGCAAGGGUAACCCUUUGGAGCAGCAUUCUGCUCAACAUGACUGAAGAGGUAAAGUUGUGCUUAUGAGAAAAGCUGCUAAAGUGCAGACUCAGGGAUCCAGGCAAAUGGAGUCCUGGGAGACGAGGUGUGACUGAAACCCUGUGAACUGAGGCAUCUUUGAGGAAUACACAAGGAAAGCAGUUUAAGAAAGCCAACUGCAACUCUAGUUCUGUGUGCUACUGUGUUCUGUCCUGGUGUGUGUGCUGUGAAGGUCACAGCUGAAGGACACUAACUGGGCAUCCUUGCACUUGCAAGUGAAAAAGUCUUCUUUCUCUGAUUGCUGGAAGCAAGUCAGAAGUUAGCAAAGCGACAGUCAAAAAAUUAACCUGCACAACCAAGAAUCUCCAAACCAACUGCUCAAGUGCCAAAGUCCGUGCUACCGGAAUCACCUAAAUUAAUAGCUGCAACAUUUCACCAUCUACUCCUCACAAACAAACCAAAGGACUGAUUUGUAUAUCUUUUUAACUUUUACUUUUGGACUCAAUUUCUCAUUUUUAAUCUGUGUGUAUGUGUGUUGUGUUUUAUUAUUUUUUCUCGUGUUUUAGUAAUAAAUAAACUCUUUCUUUAAUU